GUAGGUGGCAAGCGUUGUCCGGAAUUAUUGGGCGUAAAGCGCGCGCAGGGCGGUCCUUUAAGUCUGAUGUGAAAGCCCACGGCUCAACCGUGGAGGGUCAUUGGAAACUGGGGGACUUGAGUACAGAAGAGGAAAGCGGAAUUCCAAGUGUAGCGGUGAAAUGCGUAGAGAUUUGGAGGAACACCAGUGGCGAAGGCGGCUUUCUGGUCUGUAACUGACGCUGAGGCGCGAAAGCGUGGGGAGCAAACAGGAUUAGAUACCCUGGUAGUCCACGCCGUAAACGAUGAGUGCUAAGUGUUAGGGGGUUUCCGCCCCUUAGUGCUGCAGCUAACGCAUUAAGCGCUCCGCCUGGGGAGUACGGCCGCAAAGGCUG
This 373-nucleotide ribosomal RNA is filed under the name uncultured organism. Its description in RNAcentral is "partial 16S ribosomal RNA". It matches the Rfam family "Bacterial small subunit ribosomal RNA", at positions 527 to 896 of the family's 1533-position model. The record is from RNAcentral.